RNAcentral lists this long non-coding RNA (982 nucleotides) under Rosa chinensis. Its description in RNAcentral is "sRNA RchiOBHm_Chr1g0338941". Lineage: Eukaryota; Viridiplantae; Streptophyta; Magnoliopsida; Rosales; Rosaceae. The record is from RNAcentral.
GCUUUUCUGCACAGAAGAUUGGGGCACUGGGUUAAUGAAUCUUGAAGGAACUCUAGCCUUUGUUUGUCGAAGCUUGUUCGUGGGUGUGCAGAGAUCAGCAAACUUUGUGCAGUAACCAACUCUUUGCUUGAAUGCGUCAUUGCACAAGCAUAUUGAGUGGUGCAAACAAAAGCGGCAAUUAUCAAAGCCUCAAAGGUCUCUCGAAGCUUAUUUUUCUUUAAGGUGGCCAGAGACAAGAACAGCGACUAUACCGUAGCCAAGUAUCAGAACUCCAGGAUUUAAACUCAAGGGUGAGGCCUUCUUUUAUUUACCCAUUGGCUAUUUUGAGAAUAGGUGUUUUGAAAUAGAGAUCGGGACUGGCUCUUUUUGGCUAUGGUGUUUUGAAAGGAUGCAGGGGGUAAUUAUAUGUGGUGUUUAAGUGAAGUUGACAGAGUUCCUGUUAUCAUUUUUAUGUUGAAUCACGACCCUAUAUGGAAGCAAGGUCUGGAUGGUGAUCCACAAAGGGCCCUCUGUCAGUUCCGGUUUAUUAAACUGCCGAAACUUGAGGAUGAUAUCGGCACCCUAAGGCUUGCUGUUUCAAAGUUAUGAAAACAGUAUUGGCACCGUAAGGCACCGCCACCGGAGCUUUGAAAGUAGUUUCGGCACCCUAAGGCACGCCAAGUCGAAGCUCAACGACAAUAUCGGCACCCUAAGGCACGCCGUGUCGGAGCAUGAUAUUGAUACCCUACGGUAUCGCUGGAGGCCUGCAUCAUUGGAGAACAGCAAAGGAAAAGGUGCAGAUCGUUGAAAGUCUCACCCUCUUCCUUCUUGCUUUCUUCCUCUCCUCCGCUGCUCUCCCUCUGCUUCUUCCCGGUCUCCUGAUGUUGCUAUGUUCUAUAUUUUCGUCCUCCCUUUUUUUCUUUUUAUGCAAUGCUUUUUAUAUUGCACCGAUCAUGAGUUUGGUUUGUAUAAAACAUAGAGUUUUAGAGUUCAACUUGGAGUG